UGGCUAACUCCUACGGGAGGCAGCAGUGGGGAAUAUUGGACAAUGGGGGCAACCCUGAUCCAGCAAUGCCGCGUGAGUGAAGAAGGCGUUCGGGUUGUAAAGCUCUUUUGUCAGGGAAGAAACGGUAGUAGCUAAUAUCUAUUACUAAUGACGGUACCUGAAGAAUAAGCACCGGCUAACUACGUGCCAGCAGCCGCGGUAAUACGUAGGGUGCAAGUGUUAAUCGGAAUUACUGGGCGUAAAGCGUGCGCAGGCGGUUGUGUAAGUCAGAUGUGAAAUCCCCGGGCUCAACCUGGGAAUUGCAUUUGAGACUGCUCCGCUAGUGUGUGUGAGAGGGGGGUAGAAUUCCACGUGUAGCAGUGAAAUGCGUAGAUAUGUGGAGGAAUACCGAUGGCGAAGGCAGCCCCCUGGGAUAACACUGACGCUCAUGCACGAAAGCGUGGGGAACAAACAUGAUUAGAUACCCGUGUAGUCCAGCUGG
This 481-nucleotide ribosomal RNA is filed under the name uncultured bacterium. RNAcentral's name for it is "bacterial SSU rRNA". It matches the Rfam family "Bacterial small subunit ribosomal RNA", at positions 329 to 803 of the family's 1533-position model. The record is from RNAcentral.